ACGCUCGACACCUACGGGAGCAGCAGGUGGGGAAUAUUGCACAAGUGGGGGAAACCCUGAUGCAGCGACGCCGCGUGAGCGAAGAAGUAUUUCGGUAUGUAAAGCUCUAUCAGCAGGGAAGAAACUGACGGUACCUGACUAAGAAGCACCGGCUAAAUACGUACCACGCAGCCGCGGUAAUCUGAGCGGGCUGGCAAGGC
Molecule: ribosomal RNA, 200 nt
Filed under: uncultured bacterium
Lineage: Bacteria
Description: partial 16S ribosomal RNA
Rfam family: Bacterial small subunit ribosomal RNA
Source: RNAcentral